Molecule: long non-coding RNA, 2444 nt
Organism: Antechinus flavipes (yellow-footed antechinus)
Lineage: Eukaryota; Metazoa; Chordata; Mammalia; Dasyuromorphia; Dasyuridae
Exons: 3
Source: RefSeq, a predicted model, not a curated record
AUCCCCCUCCCCAUAUUCCCUCUCUUCACUAUUUCAUAUUGGUCCAGUUAAACAGCUACAGUAUAAUUUUUCAAGAAAGGAAACAGAAAUCAAAACUACUACUGUAAUACUUUCAAGCUUUCUAAAUGGUCAUAUCCUUUCUGGCUUGUAAACUUUUGUGCCUAAAAUAUAUAAAGAUAUCAAUAUAUCGAGAGAGAGACUGCAUUUUAAAGCAAAAUCUGUCAGAACUUGGAGAGAGGGAACUCUUGAUCUGGAGGAUACUAGGGAUCCCGAAAAGAAGUCCAUCUUGGAGAAGAUGCUUUGACUUGAGGAUUAGUUUAAACAGGGGGCUAUAAAAGAUGUAACAGAUGCAAACUGUAAAACACGGGCAAUUAACCAUUUAUCUGCCGGACAAAAUCUGUCUUAGCCCAAGCACCUAUUGUCUACUUCUAUACUAGAAGCUUUUCAGAAAACCUGGAAAGCAAGUAUCAGUUUCCACACAUUUGCCCAGAAGGGUGGAGGUAUAAAGGGGGUAGUGGUGGUGAUGAUAAUGGUGAGGGGGGUGUGAAGUACACAGAAAGCAUCUAAACUUCAACAUAGACUUUCAGUAAGACUUUUGCAAUCAAGCUUUUUGCUUCCCCCCAUCCCAUUUCUGAGCUCUUAUUCUUUAAUUGUGAAAAAGGAAAUGAAUUACAGAAACUCUCAUGUUAAAUGUUUGAGAUCCUAAAGCUGGCCUGCCUGUCUUCCUUCCUGACAAGUCCAUUGCAUAGAAAUACAUGUUUAACAAGCUAAACAGUUUUGUAGGAGUGUGUAUGAGGAAGAAAUGAAGAUUAAAUUUUAUCAUUGCCAAUUAGUUAUAACUCUGAAGUUAGCAAUCUCUACAUCAUUCUUAUAGAGGGAACAUAUAAAAUCCAAAAGUAGAUGUGUGUGUGUGUGUGUGUGUGUGUGCGCGCGUGUGCAUGUGUGUAAACAAAUUCAUAGAAGCUGGAGCUUUGCUCUGAUAUGGGAUUCUUAAUGUCAGACUACUGAUACUGGGGUCAUUUAAACACAAUUCUAUUUUUUUCUGUGACUAGUUAGCAUUUAAAUUUGCUCCUAAUUUAAAAUCCUAAAGUCCUGACAGCAGUUUUCUUUGCAGCUGGAGUGACACCCCCCCCCAUCUCCCUUUGGUAAAGGACUCUAAGUUCCAGUCAUUACUUUCACUUCUUUAUUUAUGAUCACAGAAGCUGGGGUGUUACUUCACACACAUCCACACAAAGAAUGAAAUAAAGAAAUGAAACUCACUAGGCAGACAAAACAGCAAACUUUUUGCUUAGAAAACAUCCCUUUUCUAUGGGAGAGGAUGGGAAACGACUUCUGGGAGAGAGGCUUUUCCUAAAUUUGCUUUCUGAAUUGACCACUGCUUUGCAAUUAUUAACAGCUGGAUCACUUUCGAUAAAACUUUUGCAAAGAUGGAAGCACUAUGGAAGCAAAAUGCACCUUAGUUACCUGGAUGAGCAGACUUCAUGUCUCACUUCAGAAUUAACUACCAUCCAAAAGGACCACGACAGAAAAAGAGGGGAAAAAAUACAAUGCAAAAAGAAAAAAAAAAUAAGGUAAAGAAAAAGAAGAACCUACCUGCGAAGUCUUGUUUGUAGUUUUGGCCAGAAAUGGUGAGAAGAAAAAGCAUGAAGAAGCCGCGAAGUGUGGGGGAGAAAAGGUGGAAGAGAAGCAGCUCCUGGAGAAAAUUGUAAAAAGCCUUGCAAAGAGUUGUCGGAAGGACCGUUAUUCCUGCUGGGCAGGUUAGGACUGAUCUCUUUCUGCCACUCCAGGAAACACAAACCUGGGGACGGACUGACGUGUUACGCCUCUUCUAAUGACAUUUUUUUCUUUUUCUUUUCUGUAGAGAAGAGAGGCGAGACCCUGAAACACGCGCCACCUAUCUUUGUGGGGAGGGAUAAUUGAAGAGCACUAAACGUGAGCAUCAUGUGAAAACGUGAUCGCCAAGUUUCUCUCUGGGAAAGGAUCUGGGAUAGAUUAUACCUUGAAGUCUCCGCAAACGCUUUAGUGGAAGAAAUGAAAUUCCACCUCCCUCCCUUCCUCCCUCCCUUUCUCCCUCCCUUUCUCCCUCCCUCCCUCCCUUUCCCUCCCCCUCCUCCCCCUACUUCCCCCCUCCCUAACCAUCAAGUCUUUGGCAUCAUUAUCCUCUUCACUAAAUCCUACUGGAUACAAGGCGGAAAACGGUGAACACCAUUCACAGAACUGGAGCACUCAAAGGAACCGAAAGUUAAAGGCAAAGAUCCUGUGUCUUCAAUCAAGAUCUCUUCUUCUUACAAAGAUAUCUCUAAUGGCCAGAUUUCAGAUGCACAUUAACUUGUGUGGAUUUCUCAGCACGGCUCCCAGCACUAAAGUCUUUGCCCUUUUCUCUAAGAUUUUCUUUUCUUUUCAGAUGCCAAAACCAUGUAAUAAAAUUAUAUGAAGAAACUAAA